RNAcentral lists this transfer RNA (89 nucleotides) under Elusimicrobiota bacterium. RNAcentral's name for it is "Elusimicrobia bacterium tRNA-Ser". It matches the Rfam family "tRNA". From Rfam's summary of the family: Transfer RNA (tRNA) molecules are approximately 80 nucleotides in length. Their secondary structure includes four short double-helical elements and three loops (D, anti-codon, and T loops). The record is from RNAcentral. Lineage: Bacteria; Pseudomonadati; Elusimicrobiota.
GGAGGGAUGGCCGAGCGGUUUAAGGCGGCGGUCUUGAAAACCGCUAGUCGGCGAAAGCCGGCUCGUGGGUUCGAAUCCCACUCCCUCCG